GGGGGUGUGUUAACUCCUACGUGGUAGAGCACAUGGGUCACAACCAUGGGGUCGGGAGUUCGAAUCUCUCUGCCCGCACCA
This 81-nucleotide transfer RNA is filed under the name Eubacteriales Family XIII. Incertae Sedis bacterium. RNAcentral describes it as "tRNA-Val". The record is from RNAcentral. Lineage: Bacteria; Bacillati; Bacillota; Clostridia; Peptostreptococcales; Anaerovoracaceae.